GUUCCCAUCUCGAACACAGUAGUUAAGCUCAUAAACGCCGAAAGUACUUGGCUGGAGACGGCCUGGGAGGAUAGGAAGCUGCUGAUU
Molecule: ribosomal RNA, 87 nt
Filed under: Veillonella sp.
Lineage: Bacteria; Bacillati; Bacillota; Negativicutes; Veillonellales; Veillonellaceae
Source: RNAcentral